This 430-nucleotide ribosomal RNA is filed under the name uncultured Alphaproteobacteria bacterium. Its description in RNAcentral is "bacterial SSU rRNA". It matches the Rfam family "Bacterial small subunit ribosomal RNA", at positions 29 to 505 of the family's 1533-position model. The record is from RNAcentral. Lineage: Bacteria; Pseudomonadati; Pseudomonadota; Alphaproteobacteria.
AACGAACGCUGGCGGCAGGCCUAACACAUGCAAGUCAAACGGCUCUUUUAGAGCAGUGGCGCACGGGUGAGUAACGCGUGGGAAUGUACCUUUUAGUUCGGAAUAGCCUCGGGAAACUGGGAUUAAUACCGUAUACGCCCUUCGGGGGAAAGAUUUAUCGCUAAAAGAUCAGCCCGCGUGACAUUAGCUAGAUGGUGGGGUAAUGGCCUACCAUGGCGACGAUGUCUAGCUGGUCUGAGAGGAUGAUCAGCCACACUGGAACUGAGACACGGUCCAGACUCCUACGGGAGGCAGCAGUGAGGAAUAUUGGGCAAUGGGCGAAAGCCUGACCCAGCCAUGCCGCGUGUGUGAUGAAGGCCUUAGGGUUGUAAAGCACUUUCAACGGUGAAGAUAAUGACGGUAACCGUAGAAGAAGCCCCGGCUAACUUCG